CUGCCCAGUGACAGUGUUCAACGGCCGCGGUAUCCUAACCGUGCAAAGGUAGCAUAAUCACUUGCCUAUUAAUUGUAGGCUAGAAUGAACGGAUAAACGAAAUAAAACCUGUCUCAAUCAAUAAACUAAAAAUUAGUAUCUACAUGAAGAACUGUAGAUAAAAUCGAAGGACAAGAAGACCCUAUAGAGCUUUAUUCUAAGUACAAAUAUGAUUAUACUAAAAUUCGGUUGGGGCGACCAAGGAAAUCAAAAAACAUCCUAUAAAAUAAAGAUAUAUAAAUCUAUAAAACGAUCCUUACUAAGAUCAUAAAAUCAAGCUACCUUAGGGAUAACAGGCUAAUCCUAUUAAAGAGUUCAUAUCUACAAUAGGGGUUGGCACCUCGAUGUUGGCUUAGGAUAUCAAUAUAGCGCAAAAGUUAUAUAAAGAUGGUUUGUUCAACCAGUAAUAUCCU
This 452-nucleotide ribosomal RNA is filed under the name Parachilota sp. 561. RNAcentral describes it as "partial 16S ribosomal RNA". It matches the Rfam family "Bacterial large subunit ribosomal RNA", at positions 1859 to 2597 of the family's 2925-position model. The record is from RNAcentral. Lineage: Eukaryota; Metazoa; Annelida; Clitellata; Crassiclitellata; Acanthodrilidae.